GGGAUGGGAGCAGGAAGUGUCUGAGACCUCGUCGAGCCCCGCGGCGGUGUAUAAACCCGGGCGGGCCGUCAGAGCGGAGCUUCAGAGCAGAGACAAGAGCCCAGAAAGGAGCAGAUGCUAGAUUUGCAAGAUCAGAAGCAGGUCUUGAUCCCCCUGCCCAGAAUGAACCAGACUUGAUGAUGAUGCCACCUUCAGGAGCCACCACACUGUGUGACAGUGGGGCAUCUGGGCCGUCCCUGGGAAGAAGAGGUGAGCUGGGGUGGCCCAGGGGCAGGCUGCUCAGGAAAGGCUGCUUUGUUGGAGAGCCGUGAGGGCAAGGUCUGGGGGUAAGGGACAACCAGGCAGAGGGAGGAAGUUCUGUCUCCAGUCCCCUUAAAUGGCCCCCGCUCUUUACAGAUGCGCUGCUGUCACACAUGUCCACCACCACAUGUGACAUUAGUGACGUUAUCCUGAUGUCACAGGAUCCAAGAAUGAUGAUCUGUGAAGAGUUUUCCAAGGUCACCUACUUCUAACUCUUGAAAGAUUUAAAGACAUUGGGCCUGAAAAUUUCAGUGACUUGUCCAGGGAAACGCAGUUUGUGACAGUUCACUCUCUCACAGCUGAACCACAGUCCUCUGUACUCGCCCAGGAGCCCCAGAGAGUGAACAUCCCUCAGAAUUUUGGAUAUCUCCUUCUACCUUCUCGUAGCCUGUAAAGAUUCUGCUGAGAAAUCUCCUGAAAGUUUGAUAUGGUCUUUGUAAGUUAUUUUCUGCGGCCUUGCUGCCUUUAAAAAUAUUUCUUCUUUGUCACUGACUUUUGCCAGUUUUCCUACUCUAUGCCUUGGAGUAGGUCUUUUUACAUUGAUGUAAUCAGAAGUGCUGUUAGCGUCUUUUACUUGUAAUUCCAGCUCCUUUCCCAGGUCUGAACAGACUUUCUACUCCUUUCUCCCUCCCUUCUCCCUCUAUAAUACCCAUAGUUUUUAUGUUGCAUUUCCUAAUUGAAUCAGAUAUUUCCCAGAGAAUUUCUUCGUUUCUUUUUAGUCUUAAUUCUCUCUCCUCCUCCAUCUGAAGCCUUUCUGUAUUUCGGUCCUCCACAUUGCUAAUUCCGUCUUCCAUAAGGUCAGCUCUGUAAUCCAGGGUAUCCAGAUUUUUCUUUAUCUCAUUGUGUUUUUCAUCUCCAACAUUUCUGAUUGGUUUCUCUCUACAGGGUCAAUCUCUUUUGUGAAGUCUUCCCUCUGUUUAUUAAUUUUAUUCCUGAUUUAAUUGAACUAUCUGAAUUUUCUUGUAACUCGUUGAGUUUUUUAAUGUUAGUAGCUAUUUUGAAUUCUCUGUCGUUUACCUUGUAAAUUUGUGUGCCUUCAGGAUUGAUUUCUAGGUGCUUUUCACUUUCCUUCUGGUCUGGACUAUUAAUAUAUUUCUUGCUACUAUUUGAUGGGGUUGGUUUGUGCCUUCACGUAGAUAGUAUCUGGUUGCAGAUUCCACCUGCCACCACUGGAGGAGGUUCAGGAGCUGUGUAUUCUGAGCCUGCUGUGAUCCCUGGUGUCUGUGCUUGUCCUUUGGAAUCUAUGCUGACAGGACCCAUCUGCGAUUGCCUGCUUGUAGCUGCUGCUUUGCUAAUGGAGGAGAGUCUAAGGGAAGAGCUCACUCCGCCGUGAUGCUGAUGUCAUGCCUGGUCAUUCUACUUUUAAGUUUUUGAGGAACGUCUGUACUGUUUUCCACAGUGGCUGCACCAAUUUACAUUCCCACCAGCAGGUCUGAGGGCUCCCUUUUCUCCACAUGCUCUCCAACACUUCUGUUUUCUUUGUAAAGAUUGGCACCUGAGCUAACAUCUGUUGUCUAUCUUUUUUUCCUUCUUGUUCCCCCAAAACCCCC
This 1850-nucleotide long non-coding RNA is filed under the name Equus caballus (horse). RNAcentral describes it as "lncRNA (ENSECAG00000057368.1)". The record is from RNAcentral. Lineage: Eukaryota; Metazoa; Chordata; Mammalia; Perissodactyla; Equidae.